CAGCAUAGAUUAGCAUGGCCCCUGCGCUAGGAUGACAUGCAAAUUAGGAAGUGUUCUGUAUUUUU
This is a small nuclear RNA of Cavia porcellus (domestic guinea pig), 65 nucleotides long. NCBI's taxonomy places the organism in Eukaryota, Metazoa, Chordata, Mammalia, Rodentia, Caviidae. The record is from Ensembl.